Molecule: non-coding RNA, 70 nt
Organism: Halocaridina rubra (Hawaiian volcano shrimp)
Lineage: Eukaryota; Metazoa; Arthropoda; Malacostraca; Decapoda; Atyidae
Source: the annotation of a GenBank genome assembly
UGAUGGGCUAGGGGUAUGAUUCUCGCUUAGGGUGCGAGAGGUCCCGGGUUCAAUAGUCUCUGUGGCAAAA